Molecule: RNA transcript, 1503 nt
Organism: Panicum virgatum (switchgrass)
Lineage: Eukaryota; Viridiplantae; Streptophyta; Magnoliopsida; Poales; Poaceae
Gene name: delta-1-pyrroline-5-carboxylate synthase 2-like
Exons: 3
Source: RefSeq, a predicted model, not a curated record
GAUCCCCUCCCUCGCAGCACCCCUAGCCUCCGCCCGCCGCGGCGCCGCCCCAGCUCGCGACUUCAGCUCGCACUCCCGUGGCCUUCGCCUGCCGCCCCACCUCGCGAAUCGGGAAGCAGGCGCGCGGUCCCCGGCGGCUAGCACGGGCAGCAGGGGUGCAGGGACGGCGGCCGACGCGCGGGUCCCCGCGGAGGGCGUGCUGGCUGCAGGCCCGCAGGUCCUCGGCGGUCGGUGCGCGCCACACGAACAGGAAGGAGGAAGCCCCUGCCAGCCGUUGGCUCGUGCAUCCUCGAUACCGCCCCGCUCUUCGUCGUCCUCCUCUAUUUCUUCUUGUUUGUUCCCUCGCUUAAUCCCUAACGGAUCCCGACUCUUCACUCUCUCAUCGCUGGCUGCAGGUGUUCUGGAGGAAGACGCAGCGACACCUGCUGAUCCACGCAUCGCUGGCUUGCCUCUUUGGCCGCCCGGGAUAAAUCGACCUCAUGGGAUAAUGAAUACUUUGUUUCUUGGUUAGGUUUGAUUGCAUCAUCACAACUGACGAAAAGGCUGCAGAGGCUUUUCUGCAACAAUGCUGCUUUGUUUCAUAAUGCAAGCACAAAGUUUUCUGAUGGGACUUGCUUUGGUAUAGGGGCAGAGGUACUUCCUGUUGGCUGUGUUUUCAUAAUGCUUCUUCCACAGUAUAUUAUGCCACUUUAUAGCAUGAACAGAUUGCUUUUAGAUGCCACAGUCAUUUAUUUUGGUUGCUCUUACUAGCCAUUGCUUCAAUCUACGCCUAGGCUUUCGGGGUGUAUCCGGAGAAGGUGCUUCAAGCUGACAAGCAAGCGGCAGCUCAACGAGGCAUCAACACUCGCAUGCCCAAUCCCAGUAGUUACGCCAUUAACUGUGUUUUUUUUUGCGAUAUACUUGAAUUCAAUGGCUAGACAUUGCUACUGACUCUAUAUUCUACAUUACAAGCAAUAUAUUUCCUGCUUGUAGAGGGAUAACAUGUUUCUGCACUGAAGUAAUAUUUGAAGAAUAAGUAGUUAUCUUUCUUCUUUACUGCAGCAUUGUAUUUGGGAUACUUUAAACUUACCCAAAUCAGUUACCACAACUGGAUGCUAGCUAAUAUGCUCUUGGUUUUUUAAGUUUGCAACUUGGUAGAAGCCCUGCUAUUUUCUUUCAAGCCUGCAACUGAUUAGUUCUGUUAUUUUCUUUGCAACUUUUUUUCUACGAUUAAACCACUUGUUGAACUAAUUACAAAUUUAUGUUGGUGCAGUCCAGUUUGGGAUUUUGCUGCGUACUGUUUAAUGUAUCUUUGAUGAAAGUGUUUCUUUCUUGACUUUACAGGGUAAUCGAGGAAUUGGUGAAGCAGCUUUAGUAUUCAAGUGUUUCUUUUCCAUAGAUAUCCAUAUUGUAAGACCAAUUGAAUUAUUGCUGCCGAGCAAUUUGACAUUGAAUUUGUACAUACUAUAUAUUUUGAGCUCUGGUUUACAUCUGGGUUUCGGUUGUUGAUUUGUUUGAUUGAAA